GUGAUUUUACAAUGGCGUCCUGUUGAAUGAUGAUAAGAGACGAUUUACACCCCUUCGGGAGCCAAGUGACGACAUAAGCAGAACGAGAAGUUCAAAUCAGAAAUGGCGUUUUGUUAAAAAUUUAACGUUGUACAACUGUGUAGGCAUAGGAAAUUUAGUUGAAAAUGGCGUCUAAUUCAGAAGACGAAGAAUUACGACGGCGUGAGUAUUGAUUCCUUGUCAUUUGUAGAAGAUUGUAUUAACACUGAUAAUAGUCAUACGUAUGGCGUGUACACGUCUUAUCAAAAGGAAUCUCCACUCAGUUCCUUUUAUAUUAAGGUGUUUUUCUGAUUUCUCAAGGUUACGGAUACAAUUAUACAUAUCAAAGAAUGGUCAACAUCUACGUAUGAGUGCAUUUAGGUUUUCAAGCGCUCAGCUUAGUGUCCGGCUAACACUUUCUGGACAAGGACGUGUCAUGAUCUUAAAACCAGUGUUAAUUUAUUGAGAGUGAUAUUUUUGAAUAUUCAGAUUAUGUUUAAUGUAUUUGUUAGAUGCAAAUUAAUAAACCCAGCUUUUGCGAAGACUUGUUCCUUAAAACUGGUCAGAUCAAUCCAUUAAUAUAUUAUACAAUAAUAUGUCAUUUAGAUAGAUACAUUUCCUCACCA
Long non-coding RNA from Pecten maximus, 644 nucleotides. RefSeq lists it as uncharacterized. The transcript has 3 exons. The record is from RefSeq and is a predicted model, not a curated record. NCBI's taxonomy places the organism in Eukaryota, Metazoa, Mollusca, Bivalvia, Pectinida, Pectinidae.